CAGCAGCCACGGGAAUACGAAGGGGGCUAGCGUUGUUCGGAAUUACUGGGCGUAAAGCGCACGUAGGCGGAUAUUUAAGUCAGGGGUGGAAUCCCAGAGCUCAACUCCGGAACUGCCUUUGAUACUGGGUAUCUUGAGUAUGGAAGAGGUGAGUGGAAUUCCGAGUGUAGAGGUGAAAUUCGUAGAUAUUCGGAGGAACACCAGUGGCGAAGGCGGCUCACUGGUCCAUUACUGACGCUGAGGUGCGAAAGCGUGGGGAGCAAACAGGAUUAGAUACCCCAGUAGUCCCUGUCUCUUAUAC
This 301-nucleotide ribosomal RNA is filed under the name uncultured bacterium. RNAcentral describes it as "partial 16S ribosomal RNA". It matches the Rfam family "Bacterial small subunit ribosomal RNA", at positions 509 to 807 of the family's 1533-position model. The record is from RNAcentral.